RNAcentral lists this ribosomal RNA (499 nucleotides) under uncultured bacterium. RNAcentral describes it as "bacterial SSU rRNA". It matches the Rfam family "Bacterial small subunit ribosomal RNA", at positions 28 to 533 of the family's 1533-position model. The record is from RNAcentral.
GAUGAACGCUGGCGGCGUGCCUAACACAUGCAAGUCAAGGAGAAGGUAACCUUCGGGAACCGGAUACUGGCGCACGGGUGAGUAACACGUGGAUAAUCUACCCUUUACACAGACAUAACUCAGGGAAACUUGAGCUAAUAUCUGAUGAGGCCUCCGGGUCAAAGCUUCGGCGGUAAAGGAUGAGUCUGCGUCUGAUUAGCUAGUUGGUAAGGUAAUGGCUUACCAAGGCGACGAUCAGUAACUGGUCUGAGAGGACGAUCAGUCACACUGGAACUGAGACACGGUCCAGACUCCUACGGGAGGCAGCAGUGAGGAAUUUUUGGACAAUGGGGGAAACCCGUAGAUCCAGCGACGCCGCGUGUGGGAGUGAAUGGGUUAUGCCCUCGUAAACCAACUGUCAGCAGAGAAGAAAAGGUUACCUUUGGUAACCCGGGACGUGUAUCUGCAGAGGAAGGACCGGCUAACUACGUGCCAGCAGCCGCGGUAAAGUAAGUCGUGU